UACGGAGAGUGCAAGCAUUAAUCGGAAUUAUUGGGCGUAAAGGGCGCGUAGGCGGAAUAAUAAGUCAGAUGUGAAAUUCCGAAGCUCAACUUCGGAGCUGCAUUUGAAACUAUGAUUCUAGAGGGUUGACGGAGAAAACGGAAUUCCAAGUGUAGCGGUGAAAUGCGUAGAUAUUUGGAAGAACACCAGUGGCGAAAGCGGUUUUCUAGUUAAUACCUGACGCUGAGGCGCGAGAGCAAGGGGAGCAAACAGG
RNAcentral lists this ribosomal RNA (253 nucleotides) under uncultured bacterium. Its description in RNAcentral is "partial 16S ribosomal RNA". It matches the Rfam family "Bacterial small subunit ribosomal RNA", at positions 524 to 776 of the family's 1533-position model. The record is from RNAcentral.